This is a long non-coding RNA of Parus major (Great Tit), 2451 nucleotides long. Lineage: Eukaryota; Metazoa; Chordata; Aves; Passeriformes; Paridae. The record is from Ensembl.
AUGCAGAGUAGAUUCCUUCUGGAUGUUGUAGUCAGACAGGGUACGGCCAUCUUCCAGCUGCUUGCCAGCAAAAAUAAGCCUCUGCUGGUCAGGAGGGAUGCCUUCCUUAUCCUGGAUCUUGGCCUUGACGUUCUCAAUGGUGUCACUGGGCUCGACCUCAAGGGUGAUGGUCUUGCCCGUCAGGGUCUUGACAAAGAUCUGCAUUCCACCCCGCAGGCGCAGCACCAGGUGCAGAGUGGAUUCUUUCUGGAUGUUGUAGUCAGACAGGGUGAUGGUCUUGCCAGUCAGGGUCUUCACGAAGAUCUGCAUUUUUCCCUGGAAGAAGGAAAACCCGCUGUGCUUUAGUGAUGUUCCUCCUCCUCCUCGUACCCAGGGCCGCGCCCCCGUCCGUGACGUCACAGCGAGGCCCCGACCACACCCACGGAGGGGCGGGGCCUCCACCCGCUUCCCCUUCCCGCCCGAGUCGCGCGCCCGCCACCAUCUUGAAGCACCGCUGCGCCUGCGCCACCGCCAUUUUGCCAGCGGCCCCUCGCCCUGCCCCGCCACCGCCUCGCGGUGCUGCCGUUAAAGAGGGAAGGCAACGUCCCAGCCCUCCCCCCGCCAUCACCGUCCGCCAUCGCCCCCAGCCGCAGCUCCUCAGCGCACACACCCCUCCUUCCCGCCCAGCCCGCGUCUAGGCCCUCUCCCAGCCGAGCUCUCACCGCGGCGCUGCUCGGCCACAGCGACACCACAAACCUCAGCUAGCGCCAACUGCGCCACGCAUCCCCCCGCUCGGUGCUUAUAUGGCGUCCGGCGCCCCGCCCCGCCUUCGAAUCACUCCGCUGCGCACUAUUUCCCUCGCGCCGCGCGCCUCCGAUCUCCUGCGUGGGUGAGAGGGCGGCGCGGAAGGAUCGGCGCCUCGCGCGGGUUCGCUGAGGCUGGCGCGCGCGGGCCGGCGAGCGGCGGGAAAACCCGGCCUGGAGCUUUCGGAGCGGGGCCCCGGCUGGGCCAUGUCAGUGACCCCAAGUCGGAGCCAUAAAAGUUUCUGUCGGAGUCUUUCGUUGUGCUCAGGGGUUUAAACCCCGCAGUUGCGCCCCUGAUUGAAAAACACCUCCUUGGCUUCCACCCCUGGGCCAGGGCGAGGGUCGGCUCUGCCCGCGGCCACACCGUGUGGGGGCUCCUGAGGGAAGGAGUUCGUUGCUUUAUCCCCAGGGACGCCUCGAGUGUUAUUUCUGUGUGAGAGGCCUCUGCUUGUGGGGCAGGGUGGUGUCUGUCACCCACCCGGGCACAACCCCGCUGGGACAGGUUUGUGCCAGAUCUCCGGUGCCAUCGCUCCUGGGGGACAAGGGACAAGGGCAGAGGAGGUGUCCGGCUGCCCCGGUGAUGCUGGGGCACCCGCCGAGCUUGGAGCAGCCCGAAACCACCCCAGGAAAGGGGGGCUGCAGGGGGAUGGAGAUCAGGGAGAGGGGACGUGAGGGACAAAGAAAGGCUGCUGGAUAAAGAGAUCAAGUCUUGCAUGUGAGAUAAUCAAUGAGAGUGUGUAUGUUUGUGUGCACAUAAAGUGCAGUAUGUACCUGAGCUGUAAUGGAAUUUGUAACUCGUUAAAAUUAGAAAUAAUAGUAAUAAUAAUGCCUAUUUCUUAUUCUGUUCUCAAAGAGCACCUUCUCAUAGAUCUCUGCUGCACUCUGAGAGCUCCUGCACCAUCCUACUCAAACUGCACAGCAAUUCCAGGCAGCAGCUGGGAACAGAAUUGAGCUUUGUCUGCAAGAUCCAGGCAGUGCCAUUCGGCUCGAUCUGCCUGCAAAAUCCUUCAUUUGGCAGCACCCAAGAAAAUGGAAAGGACACUAAUAACAGCCAGGGUUGCUCACCAGCAGGAAAGGAGCAGAGGUUCAGCAACAGCUUUGUGUUUUGAGGAAAAGUGUCUAUGUCUGCCUGACACAUGGAGCCCUUACAAGAGGAGAAUGCUCUGGGGAGCUCUUUGGCCUCUGCUGCUUUGUGUCUGUAUUCAUGCUCACCACAGCUGUAGUGAUAAUAAUCUCAAACACUUGGAUCAUUUAGAUGGGGAAAAAAAAGCCACAGAAGUCUUUUGGUUACUUCUCGGUGCUCAGUGGCUGACACUGUGUGCAUUGGGAGUGCAUAAACAUUAAAAACUGGAGAAGCAUUCCAGAUUUAGGCCUUUCCUCAGCAGGAAGUAAAUAAUAAUGUUAAGCUUCUUCUUUUAGUUACAAGGUGAGCACUUAGAAAAUCAUCAGAAAGGCACAUGGGGAGGUAUUUUAUGACAAAAAGUCUGUUACUACAAACUGUGUGUUACUUUCACAUGCAGGGCACAUUCCAGACGUACAGCUGCCAGGGAGAUCCAGGGAGUAAUUUACAACUAGGAAUAUUCACACUUAGCAGUGCUGCAGCCAAACAUUGGCUCAAAAUAACAACUGGAAGUAAGAUGAGUAAAUAAAUAGCAUGGGGAGAUUUUCA